RNAcentral lists this transfer RNA (73 nucleotides) under Candidatus Edwardsiibacteriota bacterium. Its description in RNAcentral is "tRNA-Gly". It matches the Rfam family "tRNA". From Rfam's summary of the family: Transfer RNA (tRNA) molecules are approximately 80 nucleotides in length. Their secondary structure includes four short double-helical elements and three loops (D, anti-codon, and T loops). The record is from RNAcentral. Lineage: Bacteria; Candidatus Edwardsiibacteriota.
GCGGGCGUAACUCAGUGGCUAGAGUGCUACCUUGCCAAGGUAGACGUCGUGGGUUCGAAUCCCAUCGCCCGCU